RNAcentral lists this transfer RNA (70 nucleotides) under Loxodonta africana (African savanna elephant). It matches the Rfam family "tRNA". From Rfam's summary of the family: Transfer RNA (tRNA) molecules are approximately 80 nucleotides in length. Lineage: Eukaryota; Metazoa; Chordata; Mammalia; Proboscidea; Elephantidae. The record is from Rfam by way of RNAcentral.
GCACGGUGGUUCAAUGGUAGAAUUCCCGCCUUCCAUGUGGGAGCACUGAGUUCAAUUCCUGGCCCGUGCA